RNAcentral lists this ribosomal RNA (1068 nucleotides) under uncultured Pseudomonas sp. RNAcentral describes it as "bacterial SSU rRNA". It matches the Rfam family "Bacterial small subunit ribosomal RNA", at positions 336 to 1396 of the family's 1533-position model. Lineage: Bacteria; Pseudomonadati; Pseudomonadota; Gammaproteobacteria; Pseudomonadales; Pseudomonadaceae. The record is from RNAcentral.
CUUCUACGGGAGGCAGCAGUGGGGAAUAUUGGACAAUGGGCGAAAGCCUGAUCCAGCCAUGCCGCGUGUGUGAAGAAGGCCUUCGGGUCGUAAAGCACUUUAAGUUGGGAGGAAGGGCUUACAGCGAAUACCUGUGAGUUUUGACGUUACCGACAGAAUAAGCACCGGCUAACUUCGUGCCAGCAGCCGCGGUAAUACGAAGGGUGCAAGCGUUAAUCGGAAUUACUGGGCGUAAAGCGCGCGUAGGUGGCUUGAUAAGUUGGAUGUGAAAUCCCCGGGCUCAACCUGGGAACUGCAUCCAAAACUGUCUGGCUAGAGUGCGGUAGAGGGUAGUGGAAUUUCCAGUGUAGCGGUGAAAUGCGUAGAUAUUGGAAGGAACACCAGUGGCGAAGGCGACUACCUGGACUGACACUGACACUGAGGUGCGAAAGCGUGGGUAGCAAACAGGAUUAGAUACCCUGGUAGUCCACGCCGUAAACGAUGUCAACUAGCCGUUGGGAGCCUUGAGCUCUUAGUGGCGCAGCUAACGCAUUAAGUUGACCGCCUGGGGAGUACGGCCGCAAGGUUAAAACUCAAAUGAAUUGACGGGGGCCCGCACAAGCGGUGGAGCAUGUGGUUUAAUUCGAAGUAACGCGAAGAACCUUACCUGGCCUUGACAUGCUGAGAACUUUCCAGAGAUGGAUUGGUGCCUUCGGGAACUCAGACACAGGUGCUGCAUGGCUGUCGUCAGCUCGUGUCGUGAGAUGUUGGGUUAAGUCCCGUAACGAGCGCAACCCUUGUCCUUAGUUACCAGCACAUUAUGGUGGGCACUCUAAGGAGACUGCCGGUGACAAACCGGAGGAAGGUGGGGAUGACGUCAAGUCACCAUGGCCCUUACGGCCAGGGCUACACACGUGCUACAAUGGUCGGUACAAAGGGUUGCCAAGCCGCGAGGUGGAGCUAAUCCCAUAAAACCGUUCUCAGUUCGGAUUGUAGGCUGCAACUCGCCUACAUGAAGCUGGAAUCGCUAGUAAUCGCGGAUCAGCAUGCCGCGGUGAAUACGUUCCCAGGCCUUGUACACACCGCCCU